Cajanus cajan (pigeon pea) is the source of this 649-nucleotide long non-coding RNA. RefSeq lists it as uncharacterized. Lineage: Eukaryota; Viridiplantae; Streptophyta; Magnoliopsida; Fabales; Fabaceae. The record is from RefSeq and is a predicted model, not a curated record.
CACUCAAAAACGAAAAGGUCGGUUUUGGUGGUUGAAAUCUAUUGCACAUGAGAGUAGAGCCAUACCUUUUGAGAAUAACACUACAUUACGGCACAGAGGAUAAGGAAGGGCUAAUCCAGUGAAACAGUCUCAUAAACGAGCUAUUAAAAAGUUAAGAAGAAAAGAAUUUCAAAUGGGAACUACUAGAUCCCAAGGAGCUGGAGUUGUAGCAUCAAGGGUUGGGAUUGAAAAUGGUGGAGUUGGAUCAUCAUCUCAAUCAAAGCCAGUGAUUACUUGCUGAAAGUAUAUUCAUUUAUUUAUUUUGUUAUUUUCUUGCUUUUUUAUUUUAGUUAAAUAUUUACUUAUAUACUUGUUUGUUAUUUUGUUAUUCUAUAUAGGUCCCUUGGCGUUAUUUUUUUCUUAUUUUGGUCUGUAUCCACUAAAGAUAUAUGGAGUCAUUAUUGUUUUUUUGGUAUAACAGUACUACUCAAUUACAUUUUUUGAGAAUCAUCAUUUGGGUGGUAUCAUUGCACUUCUCAGAAUGCAUAAUAGAUCCUUCUAAAUUGCUUAUCUCAAUUUGGUUAGUUUUCAAAAGUAUUUCCUUACUAAUUUAUCACAUUACUAUAUUGUUGUCUAUUUAUUAAAGUUUUUUAUUGAAUUUUUUCUUGAC